CAGUCGCCACGGUAAUACGAGGGGGGCAAGCGUUGUUCGGAAUUAUUGGGCGUAAAGGGCGCGUAGGCGGUUUGGCAAGUUUGGUGUGAAAUCUUCGGGCUCAACUCGAAGUCUGCAUCGAAAACUGCCGGGCUUGAGUAUGGGAGAGGUGAGUGGAAUUUCCGGUGUAGCGGUGAAAUGCGUAGAUAUCGGAAGGAACACCUGUGGCGAAAGCGGCUCACUGGACCAUUACUGACGCUGAGGCGCGAAAGCUAGGGGAGCAAACAGGAUUAGAUACCCCUGUAGUCCCUGUCUCUUAUAC
Molecule: ribosomal RNA, 301 nt
Filed under: uncultured bacterium
Lineage: Bacteria
Description: partial 16S ribosomal RNA
Rfam family: Bacterial small subunit ribosomal RNA
Source: RNAcentral